CCUAGCUUGGACUAGACAUAUGCUAAAAUUCGAACGAUACAGAGAAGAUUAGCUCGGCCCUGCUCAAGGAUGACACGCAAAGACGUAAAGCGUUCCACAUUUUG
Molecule: small nuclear RNA, 104 nt
Organism: Topomyia yanbarensis
Lineage: Eukaryota; Metazoa; Arthropoda; Insecta; Diptera; Culicidae
Source: RefSeq, a predicted model, not a curated record